Salvia miltiorrhiza (redroot sage) is the source of this 840-nucleotide long non-coding RNA. RefSeq lists it as uncharacterized. The record is from RefSeq and is a predicted model, not a curated record. The transcript is spliced from 3 exons. NCBI's taxonomy places the organism in Eukaryota, Viridiplantae, Streptophyta, Magnoliopsida, Lamiales, Lamiaceae.
ACUCCCCCACCAUACUAGUGCAGCAACAACUCUUCCUUAUCUUAGUCUCAACUUCAGCCAAGCAACGCAAGACUCACUAUCACUUUUCACCAAGAAUCUCCCAAAGAGCAGGGGAGCCUCCAUUUCAACCUGCCAAUGUUUUCAAGUUUCAAUUCAUUCAAUGCACUACAACCGAAAAGUGAGAGAAAUCACUCAUUCACUCUCUGCCAGAAACAUUAAGGUAAAAAAAUUAGUAUUGAUUCAUCAUCUCCUUCCAAUUACAACUUACAGUUAUUGAAAGAAACAAGUUUGAUCUUUCAGUUCAGUCAUUCCAGUUCUUUUAACUCAACAUCACAGCAGCCAACCAAGCCCAAAACAUUCGCAAGGUCAAGCGCGAGAGUAAGAACUACACAAGGAGUUAGAGUACCUUAGCAAAACUUUGCUAUCAGGUUGAGCUGUGAUGGGCGAUGAAGUGUUGUUGCUGAGUAGAGUUUUUGUCGAACUUAAAGUAGGCUCAGAAAGGAUACAUGUCUUCAUACAUGUAUCUCAGAUAUGCAUUCCGCUGUAAACACUGAUUAUUUCAGUUACACCUUCCGUUGCAAAUUCUGAUAAUGUUUUAGCCAAGCCCCUAACGAUGCCUUUUUUCCUUUUAAGGAAUAUAAUGCGUAUACAAGUUCUUUGAGUACCCUUUUUAUGCGAACUAUGCCUUUUUCCUUUUUAAGGAAUAUUUCACACGUAUUCAAGCUCUUUGAGUAUUCUUUUAUGCACCCCUUUCUAAACCCGCUUCGUAAUUUCCCUUCCCCAGUCAUGGUUUUCCCGGAUUAAUUAUCCUUAAUUAAGGCCGGUCGUGACAGAGUGGUA